Cyphomyrmex costatus is the source of this 46-nucleotide non-coding RNA. NCBI's taxonomy places the organism in Eukaryota, Metazoa, Arthropoda, Insecta, Hymenoptera, Formicidae. The record is from Rfam.
UAACCCGCUCUUUUCAGAGCGACUAAUACAUUUUUACGUAUCUAUU